ACUCAAAUGAAUAGACGGGGACCCGCACAAGCGGUGGAGCAUGUUGUUUAAUUCGAAGCAACGCGAAGAACCUUACCCACACUUGACAUCCCAAGUAUGAUUUCCAGAGAUGGAUUUCUUCAGUUCGGCUGGCUUGGUGACAGGUGCUGCAUGGCUGUCGUCAGCUCGUGUCGUGAGAUGUUGGGUUAAGUCCCGCAACGAGCGCAACCCUUAUUGUUAGUUGCCAUCAUUUAGUUGGGCACUCUAAUGAGACUGCCGGUGUCAAGCCGGAGGAAGGUGGGGACGACGUCAAGUCAUCAUGGCCCUUACGUGUGGGGCUACAAACGUGCUACAAUGGUGGUGACAGUGAGCAGCCAGGCCGCGAGGUCGAGCUAAUCUCUAAAAACCAUCUCAGUUCGGAUUGUUCUCUGCAACUCGAGAGCAUGAAGUUGGAAUCGCUAGUAAUCGCGCAUCAGCAUGUCGCGGUGAAUACGUUCCCGGGUCUUGUACACACCGCCCGU
This 500-nucleotide ribosomal RNA is filed under the name uncultured bacterium. RNAcentral describes it as "bacterial SSU rRNA". It matches the Rfam family "Bacterial small subunit ribosomal RNA", at positions 899 to 1397 of the family's 1533-position model. The record is from RNAcentral.